UGGUGAUCUUCCAAGAACACUUGAGAGAGCAAUCUGUUUGGUAUGGAAGAAUGUAAAUCACUUCAAAUCUGUUAUAGGAAACUGCAUCAUCACGCAGCUGGUGUUAACAAAGCUAGCAUUGAUGCUAGGUAUCUUUGAGCAACUAGCGCUAGCAAUUCAGUGAACAUCGACGGUUACGUAUGUAACCACGGUUAUGUGAGCUAUUGGAUCACUCCAAUAUGGUUUCCUUCCACGUGGCAGGGUACAUUCUGAGUUAGAAUUUCAGAUUAGUACCGUGUACCGGGUAGUGCUGCGACUGACCACUGUAAAUAGCUGCCGUGCACUACUUCCACCUCGUGUCCUUUUCAAGGCACCAACAAAAAGGAUUGGAGUAAUCCAACAGAGCACAUAAACAGCCCAACUGGCCGAGGCGCAAAUAUCAUUGAGGGGGAACUCCUCAGAGCAGGGACCACGAUGUAGCUACUCCUCUAGUAGAAUGCACCACUAUGGCAGAGGUCAGAGGUCAUAGGUGAGAGGCCCACGAUGUAGCUACUCCUCUAGUAGAAUGCACCACUGCAGCAGAGGUCAGAGGUCAUAGGUGAGAGGCCCACGAUGUAGCUACUCGUCUAGUAGAAUGCACAACUACAGCAGAGGUCAGAGGCCCACGAUGUAGCUACUCUAGUAGAAUGCACCACUAGGAAGGUAGAAGCCGGCUGGCCUGCUGAUAUUGGGCCUGUAAGAGGAGCACCUCAGGAUGACUGCUGAGUCCAACCCUCUCUCAGUUUGGCCUUUGGGCCUGUAAGAGGAGCACCUCAGGAUGACUGCUGAGUCCAACCCUCUCUCAGUUUGGCCUUUGGGCCUGUAAGAGGAGCACCUCAGGAUGACUGCUGAGUCCAACCCUCUCUCAGUUUGGCCUUUGGGCCUGUAAGAGGAGCACCUCAGGAUGACUGCUGAGUCCAACCCUCUCUCAGUUUGGCCUUUGGGCCUGUAAGAGGAGCACCUCAGGAUGACUGCUGAGUUCCAACCCUCUCUCAGUUAUGGCCUUUGGGCCUGUAAGAGGAGCACCUCAGGAUGACUGCUGAGUUCCAACCCUUCUUAUCCGCAGUCCGCUGCCUGUGGGAGAAAAACCCUACUGGAUAAAGUAGUUUCUCUCUGUGGGAAGAAGAGAUGGUUAGUAUAUACCCUGCAGUAUUACAAAGGAUAUGACAACUCCAGCUACACACUGCGUAACACCUGCAGUGUCAUCUAGCUGUUAUGUGAGUUCCUAAGGGAAACUGGGAUAGUUACUGUCUGGACUGUAGUGUCAUCUAGCUGUUAUGUGUGUUUCUCAGGGAAACUGGGAUAGUUACUGUCUGGACUGUAGUGUAAUCGAGCUGUUAUGUGAGUUUCUAAGGGAAACUGGGAUAGUUACUGUCUGGACUGUAGUGUCAUCUAGCUGUUAUGUGUGUUUCUCAGGGAAACUGGGAUAGUUACUGUCUGGACUGUAGUGUAAUCGAGCUGUUAUGUGAGUUUCUAAGGGAAACUGGGAUAGUUACUGUCUGGACUGUAAAGUAGUGUAACAGAAAAACUAUUGAGCACCAACCCAGCUACACACUGUGUGGAAAACAGCAGUGUAAUAUCAAAUGUUGUUAGUCACAUGCGCCGAAUACAACAGGAGUAGUAGACCUUACAGUGAAAUGCUGAAUACAACAGGUGUAGUAGACCUUACAGUGAAAUGCUGACUACAACAGGUGUAGUAGACCUUACAGUGAAAUGCUGAAUACAACAGGUGUAGUAGACCUUACAGUGAAAUGCUGAAUUACAACAGGUGUAGUAGACCUUACAGUGAAAUGCUGAAUACAACAGGUGUAGUAGACCUUACAGUGAAAUGCUGACUACAACAGGUGUAGUAGACCUUACAGUAAAAUGCUGACUACAACAGGUGUAGUAGACCUUACAGUGAAAUGCUGAAUACAACAGGUGUAGUAGAACUUACAGUGAAACGCUGAAUACAACAGGUGUAGUAGACCUUACAGUGAAAUGCUGAAUACAACAGGUGUAGUAGACCUUACAGUGAAAUGGUGAAUACAACAGGUGUAGUAGACCUUACAGUGAAAUGCUGAAUACAACAGGUGUAGUAGACAUUACAGUGAAAUGCUGAAUACAACAGGUGUAGUAGACCUUACAGUGAAAUGCUGAAUACAACAGGUGUAGUAGACCUUACAGUGAAAUGCUGAAUACAACAGGUGUAGUAGACCUUACAGUGAAAUGCUGAAUACAACAGGUGUAGUAGACCUUACAGUGAAAUGCUGACUACAACAGGUGUAGUAGACCUUACAGUGAAAUGCUGAAUACAACAGGUGUAGUAGAACUUACAGUGAAAUGCUGAAUAGAACAGGUGUAGUAGACCUUACAGUGAAAUGCUGAAUACAACAGGUGUAGUAGACCUUACAGUGAAAUGCUGAAUACAACAGGUGUAGUAGACCUUACAGUGAAAUGCUGAAUACAACAGGUGUAGUAGACCUUACAGUGAAAUGCUGAAUACAACAGGUGUAGUAGACCUUACAGUGAAAUGCUGAAUACAACAGGUGUAGUAGAACUUACAGUGAAAUGCUGAAUACAACAGGUGUAGUAGACCUUACAGUGAAAUGCUGAAUACAACAGGUGUAGUAGACCUUACAGUGAAAUGCUGAAUACAACAGGUGUAGUAGACCUUACAGUGAAAUGCUGAAUUACAACAGGUGGAGUAGACCUUACAUUGAAAUGCUGAAUACAACAGGUGUAGUAGACCUUACAGUGAAAUGCUGAAUACAACAGGUGUAGUAGACCUUACAGUGAAAUGCUGAAUACAACAGGUGUAGUAGACCUUACAGUGAAAUGCUGAAUACAACAGGUGUAGUAGACCUUACAGUGAAAUGCUGAAUACAACAGGUGUAGUAGACAUUACAGUGAAAUGCUGAAUACAACAGGUGUAGUAGACCUUACAGUGAAAUGCUGAAUACAACAGGUGUAGUAGACCUUACAGUGAAAUGCUGAAUACAACAGGUGUAGUAGACCUUACAGUGAAAUGCUGAAUACAACAGGUGUAGUAGACCUUACAGUGAAAUGCUGAAUACAACAGGUGUAGUAGACCUUACCGUGAAAUGCUGAAUACAACAGGUGUAGUAGACCUUACAGUGAAAUGCUGAAUACAACAGGUGUAGUAGACCUUACCGUGAAAUGCUGAAUACAACAGGUGUAGUAGACCUUACAGUGAAAUGCUGAAUACAACAGGUGUAGUAGACCUUACAGUGAAAUGCUGAAUACAACAGGUGUAGUAGACCUUACCGAGAAAUGCUGAAUACAACAGGUGUAGUAGACCUUACAGUGAAAUGCUGAAUACAACAGGUGUAGUAGACCUUACAGUGAAAUGCUGAAUACAACAGGUGUAGUAGACCUUACAGUGAAAUGCUGAAUACAACAGGUGUAGUAGACCUUACAGUGAAAUGCUGAAUACAACAGGUGUAGUAGACCUUACAGUGAAAUGCUGAAUACAACAGGUGUAGUAGACCUUACAGUGAAAUGCUGAAUACAACAGGUGUAGUAGACCUGACAGUGAAAUGCUGAAUACAACAGGUGUAGUAGACCUUACAGUGAAAUGCUGAAUACAACAGGUGUAGUAGACCGUACAGUGAAAUGCUGAAUACAACAGGUGUAGUAGACCUUACAGUGAAAUGCUGAAUACAACAGGUGUAGUAGACCUUACAGUGAAAUGCUGAAUACAACAGGUGUAGUAGACAUUACAGUGAAAUGCUGAAUACAACAGGUGUAGUAGACCUUACAGUGAAAUGCUGAAUACAACAGGUGUAGUAGACCUUACAGUGAAAUGCUGAAUACAACAGGUGUAGUAGACCUGACAGUGAAAUGCUGAAUACAACAGGUGUAGUAGACCUUACAGUGAAAUGCUGAAUACAACAGGUGUAGUAGACCUUACAGUGAAAUGCUGAAUACAACAGGUGUAGUAGACCUUACAGUGAAAUGCUGAAUACAACAGGUGUAGUAGACCUUACAGUGAAAUGCUGAAUACAACAGGUGUAGUAGACAUUACAGUGAAAUGCUGAAUACAACAGGUGUAGUAGACCUUACAGUGAAAUGCUGAAUACAACAGGUGUAGUAGACCUUACAGUGAAAUGCUGAAUACAACAGGUGUAGUAGACCUUACAGUGAAAUGCUGAAUACAACAGGUGUAGUAGACCUUACAGUGAAAUGCUGAAUACAACAGGUGUAGUAGACCUGACAGUGAAAUGCUGAAUACAACAGGUGUAGUAGACCUUACAGUGAAAUGCUGAAUACAACAGGUGUAGUAGACCUGACAGUGAAAUGCUGAAUACAACAGGUGUAGUAGACCUUACAGUGAAAUGCUGAAUACAACAGGUGUAGUAAACCUUACAGUGAAAUGCUGAAUACAACAGGUGUAGUAGACAUUACAGUGAAAUGCUGAAUACAACAGGUAGACCUUACAGUGAAAUGCUGAAUACAACAGGUGUAGUAGACCUUACAGUGAAAUGCUGAAUACAACAGGUGUAGUAGACCUUACAGUGAAAUGCUGAAUACAACAGGUGUAGUAGACCUUACAGUGAAAUGCUGAAUACAACAGGUGUAGUAGACCUUACAGUGAAAUGCUGAAUACAACAGGUGUAGUAGACCUUACCGUGAAAUGCUGAAUACAACAGGUGUAGUAGACCUUACAGUGAAAUACUGAAUACAACAGGUGUAGUAGACAUUACUGACGAGCCUCUAACCAACAAUGCAGUUUAAAAAAAUACAGGUAAGAAUGUACAGGGGGUACCGAUACAUAGUCAAUGUACAGGGGGGUACCGAUACAUAGUCAAUGUACAGGGGGGUACCGAUACA
Molecule: long non-coding RNA, 4851 nt
Organism: Oncorhynchus keta (chum salmon)
Lineage: Eukaryota; Metazoa; Chordata; Actinopteri; Salmoniformes; Salmonidae
Exons: 6
Source: RefSeq, a predicted model, not a curated record